RNAcentral lists this ribosomal RNA (512 nucleotides) under uncultured bacterium. RNAcentral describes it as "partial 16S ribosomal RNA". It matches the Rfam family "Bacterial small subunit ribosomal RNA", at positions 28 to 523 of the family's 1533-position model. The record is from RNAcentral.
GAUGAACGCUGGCGGCAUGCCUAAUACAUGCAAGUCGAACGAGAGGAAGGAAAGCUUGCUUUUCUGAAUCUAGUGGCGAACGGGUGAGUAACACGUAGGUAACCUGCCCAUGUGCCCGGGAUAACUUCUGGAAACGGAUGCUAAAACCGGAUAGGUAGCAGACAAGCAUUUGACUGCUAUUAAAGUGGCUAAGGCCAUGAACAUGGAUGGACCUGCGGUGCAUUGGCUAGUUGGUGAGGUAACGGCCCACCAAGGCGACGAUGCAUAGCCGGCCGGAGAGGGCGGACGGCCACAUUGGGAAUGAGACACGGCCCAAACUCCUACGGGAGGCAGCAGUAGGGAAUUUUCGUCAAUGGGGGGAACCCUGAACGAGCAAUGCCGCGUGAGUGAGGAAGGUCUUCGGAUCGUAAAGCUCUGUUGUAAGAGAAAAACGACAUUCAUAGGGAAUGAUGAGUGAGUGAUGGUAUCUUACCAGAAAGUCACGGCUAACUACGUGCCAGCAGCCGCCGCCG